RNAcentral lists this ribosomal RNA (179 nucleotides) under uncultured bacterium. RNAcentral's name for it is "partial 16S ribosomal RNA". It matches the Rfam family "Bacterial small subunit ribosomal RNA", at positions 1321 to 1500 of the family's 1533-position model. The record is from RNAcentral.
UGAAGUCGGAAUUGCUAGUAAUCGCGGAUCAGCAUGCCGCGGUGAAUACGUUCCCGGGCCUUGUACACACCGCCCGUCACACCAUGGGAGCCGGUAAUACCCGAAGUCAGUAGUCCAACCUCGUGAGGACGCUGCCGAAGGUAGGAUUGGCGACUGGGGUGAAGUCGUAACAAGGUACC